GACAGAGCAUGAACGGGGGAGGGUCAGAGAGAGAGGGAGACACAGAAUCUGAAACAGGCUCCAGGCUCUGAGCUGUCAGCACAGAGCCCAAUGCGGGGCUCGAACUCACGGACCGCGAGAUCAUGACCUGAGCUGAAGUCGGACGCUUAACCGACUGAGCCACCCAGGCCCCCCUCUCUCUGUGGUUCUAUACCUUUCCUUUUUUUACCUGCCUCAAUCUGGGGUGCAUUUGAAUUCCAAACAGAAAUCUGAUCAUGUGACACUCUUAUUUAAAAAACCUGCACCUGUUGGUCUGGCAGAUGAAGUUCAAACUCUUCACCGUAGCACAGAAAGGACUUCUUCACCUGGUCUCAUGCUCUCUGUGGAUGUCCUUUGUGACUCACGCCCUUCUCAGAAGGCAUGCUGAAUGGCUGCGCCGUGUUGUAUGUCUGUGUCUUCUUCUGUCUACCGUGAUUUCUUCCUUUCAGGUGGAAUGCCAUUUCUUUUCUUCUGCAGCUGCUGUGCACUUAUCCUUUAGCCUCUGUCCAAAUAUAAAUCCUCUUCUAACUUCUGCUUUCUCGUCACCUGCUUCUCCACUUCCUCAGCAUCUCGGGCUCGCCUCUGUUAGGACCCUUUGCCAGUAGUGCCUGGUGAAUUCUCUCUCCUUCUCCAGACUGCACACCCUUCAGGAUUCUGAACGAUCUUCGUCUUUGGAGGCCUAGUGUGGGAUAGCUUAUAAAGUUGAUUCACUGACUGCUGGUUUAAAAUGGUGUCUGCGAACAGCCUCUGCUACAGCUUUCUCCGUAAUGUGCAGUAAAAUACCUAAGAAGGCUUAGAAGAAGAUAUAAACUCAAAAUACAGCCAUAAACUUGGACUGACAAUCAACUAAAGGCUGGAUCAGGGAGGUAUUCUAGACUCUGGGACUUCAGCAGUAAAUAAAGCUGACAAAAAUCCCACCCCUGCAGAGCUUGCAUUCCAAAGGAAGAAGACAAAAAUAAAAUGUAUUAUAUGACAUAGUGUGAUAGGAAGUGAAAAUGGCUAUGUAGAAAAAUAAAGAGGGAGGGGGAGAAAAAUAAAAAGGAAGGGGCCUCAUUGAGAAGAUGACAUUUGAAGAAAACCUGUGGACUUCCUGGGGAGAAGUGUCUCAGACCCAGAGAGCAGCCAGUUUAAAGGCCCUGAAAUGGGAACAUGCUGGAGAUGCUGGAGAAUUUCAGAAACAGGAGGAGACCACUGUGGUUGGAACAGUGUGACGAUGGGACAUGGAGAGAUAGCGGGGUGCCAGAUCUUGUAUGUCCUUAAGUUUCAUUCACCAGACACAUGAAAAGAUGCUCAAGGUCACUCAUCAUCAGGGAAAUACACAUCAAAGCCACACUGAAAUACCACCUCACACUGGUCAGAGUGGCUAAAAUGAACAGAUGAGGAAAUUACAGAUGCUGGCAAGGAUGUGGAGAAACGGGAAUCCUCUUGUACUGUUGGUGGGAAUGCAAACUGGUGCAGCUUCUCUGGAAAACAGUGUGGAGGUGCCUCAAAAAAUUAAAAAUAGAACUAACCCAGCAAUAGCACUGCUAGGAAUUUACCCACGAGAUACAGGAGUGCUGAUGCAUAGGGGCACAUGUAUCCCAAUGUUUAGAGCAGCACUAUCAACAAUAGCCAAAUUAUGGAAAGAGCCUAAAUGUCUACCAACUGAUGAAUGGAUAAAGAAGAUGUGGUUUAUAUAUACAAUGGAAUACUACUUGGCAAUCAGAAAGAAUGAAAUCAUGCCAUUUGCAGCAACGUGGAUGGAACUGGAAGGUAUAAUGCUGAGUGAAAUAAGUCAGUCAGAGGACAGAUAUCAUGUUUUUACUCAUAUGUGGAUCUUAAGAAACUUAACAGAAGACCAUGGGGGAAGGGAAGGGGGAAAAUAGUUACAAACAGAGAGGGAAGGAAGCAAACCACA
Neofelis nebulosa (Clouded leopard) is the source of this 1915-nucleotide long non-coding RNA. RefSeq lists it as uncharacterized. The transcript is spliced from 3 exons. Lineage: Eukaryota; Metazoa; Chordata; Mammalia; Carnivora; Felidae. The record is from RefSeq and is a predicted model, not a curated record.